UUUCCUUGAUACACAUGGGAUAAACACAAGCCUGACCGAAAGCAAAAGGGGGAGCUCCACGGCAUUACAGAGUGUUCGGGUUAGGCGGAGUACCGUUAUUAGGGGGGGGGGGGAGCCGGGCCGACCAAAGAAUGAGCAGGAACAAUAAGGGUAAAGUCUUCGUCGCGGGGGGCGUUGACCUGGGCAAUAGAAAUCCAGAGAGGGUCAGCCGGAUCUCUUCCCCCUCCUCCCCCUUCCCCCCAGAAAAAGGAUUAAAAAGAGAAAUCCCAUUCCAUCAGAGCCCUGCCCCCUCCCGGGGACAAAACGGCGGCGGUGGCGGCGGAGUUCCUCGUAAAUUCCGAUGGCAUCUUCCUGGAACUGGCAUACGAUUCGGCGUGCCUGCCCGCUCGGGCUGGCGGAUUAGGCCAAAAAUAUGAGCUUCACAGCGGCGGCGGCGGCGGCGGCGGCGGCGGCGGCAGCUUCAGGCAUAGUACAUGUACAGGCUGUUGGCGGCGGCGCAGGCGAUGGAGUUCUCAGUCGGGUGCCAAGCAAGGUGGAGCAGCUUGCUGGUGAAGUCGUAG
Molecule: long non-coding RNA, 560 nt
Filed under: Spirodela polyrhiza (greater duckweed)
Lineage: Eukaryota; Viridiplantae; Streptophyta; Magnoliopsida; Alismatales; Araceae
Description: long non-coding RNA (SPOL_LNC000774)
Source: RNAcentral